GACGAACGCUGGCGGCGUGCUUAAUACAUGCAAGUCGAACGGAAAGGCCCUGCUUUUGUGGGGUGCUCGAGUGGCGAACGGGUGUGUAACACGUGAGUAACCUGUCCUUGAAUUUGGGAUAACAUCUGGCAAAUCGGGCUAAUACCGGAUAGGAGAUCCUGCAGCAUGUUGGGGGUUGGAAAGAUACGGCGGUUGGGGAUGGACUCGCGGCAUAUCGGCUGGUUGGUGGGGUAGUGGCUGACCAAGGCUUUGAAGGAUAGCCGGCCUGGGAGGGUGACCGGCAACGUUACGACUGAGGUAGGGCCCAGACUGCAACGUGCGGCAACAGUGGGGAUUAUUGCACAGUGAGCGGACGCCAGAUGCAGCGGCGCCGCGAGCGUGAAGACUGCUUUCGGGUUGUAAACCGAUUUCUCAUGAGACGAGGAGAUAGUGACGGUAAUGAGUAAAGAAGCACCGGCUAACUACGUG
Molecule: ribosomal RNA, 468 nt
Filed under: uncultured bacterium
Lineage: Bacteria
Description: partial 16S ribosomal RNA
Rfam family: Bacterial small subunit ribosomal RNA
Source: RNAcentral